UACGGAGGGGGCUAGCGUUGUUCGGAAUUACUGGGCGUAAAGGGUGCGUAGGCGGCUGUUCAAGUCAGACGUGAAAGGCCUGGGCUCAACCUGGGAACUGCGUUUGAGACUGGACGGCUGGAGUCCGGGAGAGGUGAGCGGAAUUCCCAGUGUAGAGGUGAAAUUCGUAGAUAUUGGGAAGAACACCGGUGGCGAAGGCGGCUCACUGGACCGGUACUGACGCUGAGGCACGAAAGCGUGGGGAGCAAACAGG
This 253-nucleotide ribosomal RNA is filed under the name uncultured bacterium. RNAcentral's name for it is "partial 16S ribosomal RNA". It matches the Rfam family "Bacterial small subunit ribosomal RNA", at positions 524 to 776 of the family's 1533-position model. The record is from RNAcentral.